GUCUACAGACAUGCCACCCUGAACAAGCCUGAUCCCAUCUGAUCUCGGAAGCUAAGCAGGGUUGGGCCUGGUUAGUACUUGGAUGGGAGACCACCUAGGAAGACCAGGUGUUGUAGGCA
RNAcentral lists this ribosomal RNA (119 nucleotides) under Pteropus alecto (black flying fox). The record is from RNAcentral. Lineage: Eukaryota; Metazoa; Chordata; Mammalia; Chiroptera; Pteropodidae.